RNAcentral lists this ribosomal RNA (589 nucleotides) under uncultured bacterium. RNAcentral's name for it is "partial 16S ribosomal RNA". It matches the Rfam family "Bacterial small subunit ribosomal RNA", at positions 355 to 932 of the family's 1533-position model. The record is from RNAcentral.
UGGGGAAUCUUCCGCAAUGGACGAAAGUCUGACGGAGCAACGCCGCGUGUAUGAUGAAGGUCUUCGGAUUGUAAAGUACUGUCAUUGGGGAAGAACGGUUUUCUUGAAAAGAUUGAGAAGACAUGACGGUACCCAAGGAGGAAGCCCCGGCUAACUACGUGCCAGCAGCCGCGGUAAUACGUAGGGGGCAAGCGUUGUCCGGAAAUUAUUGGGCGUAAAGGGCGCGUAGGCGGGCCUUUAAGUCCGGUGUGAAAGAUCAGGGCUCAACCCUGAGAGUGCAUCGGAAACUGGAGGCCUUGAGGACAGGAGAGGAAAGUGGAAUUCCACGUGUAGCGGUGAAAUGCGUAGAUAUGUGGAGGAACACCAGUGGCGAAGGCGACUUUCUGGACUGUAACUGACGCUGAGGCGCGAAAGCGUGGGGAGCAAAACAGGAUUAGAUACCCUGGUAGUCCACGCCGUAAACGAUGAGUGCUAGGUGUAGAGGGUAUCGACCCCUUCUGUGCCGCAGUUAAACACAAUAAGGCACUCCCGCCUGGGGAGGUACGGCCGCAAGAUUAAAAACUUAAAGGAAUUGACGGGGUCAUAGCUG